RNAcentral lists this ribosomal RNA (612 nucleotides) under Hanseniaspora opuntiae. RNAcentral describes it as "LSU rRNA". It matches the Rfam family "Eukaryotic large subunit ribosomal RNA", at positions 43 to 669 of the family's 3401-position model. The record is from RNAcentral. Lineage: Eukaryota; Fungi; Ascomycota; Saccharomycetes; Saccharomycodales; Saccharomycodaceae.
UCAAUAAGCGGAGGAAAAGAAACCAACUGGGAUUACCUUAGUAACGGCGAGUGAAGCGGUAAAAGCUCAAAUUUGAAAUCUGGUACUUUCAGUGCCCGAGUUGUAAUUUGUAGAAUUUGUCUUUGAUUAGGUCCUUGUCUAUGUUCCUUGGAACAGGACGUCAUAGAGGGUGAGAAUCCCGUUUGGCGAGGAUACCUUUUCUCUGUAAGACUUUUUCGAAGAGUCGAGUUGUUUGGGAAUGCAGCUCAAAGUGGGUGGUAAAUUCCAUCUAAAGCUAAAUAUUGGCGAGAGACCGAUAGCGAACAAGUACAGUGAUGGAAAGAUGAAAAGAACUUUGAAAAGAGAGUGAAAAAGUACGUGAAAUUGUUGAAAGGGAAGGGCAUUUGAUCAGACAUGGUGUUUUUUGCAUGCACUCGCCUCUCGUGGGCUUGGGCCUCUCAAAAAUUUCACUGGGCCAACAUCAAUUCUGGCAGUAGGAUAAAUCAUUAAGAAUGUAGCUACCUCGGUAGUGUUAUAGCUUAUUGGAAUACUGCUAGCUGGGAUUGAGGACUGCGCUUCGGCAAGGAUGUUGGCAUAAUGGUUAAAUGCCGCCCGUCUUGAAACACGGACAAA